Molecule: ribosomal RNA, 253 nt
Filed under: uncultured bacterium
Lineage: Bacteria
Description: partial 16S ribosomal RNA
Rfam family: Bacterial small subunit ribosomal RNA
Source: RNAcentral
UACGUAGGUGGCAAGCGUUGUCCGGAAUUACUGGGCGUAAAGGGCGUGUAGGCGGGAAGGCAAGUCAGAAGUGAAAUCCCAGGGCUUAACUCUGGAGCUGCUUCUGAAACUGUUUUUCUUGAGUGUCGGAGAGGUAAGUGGAAUUCCCAGUGUAGCGGUGAAAUGCGUAGAGAUUGGGAGGAACACCAGUGGCGAAGGCGACUUACUGGACGAUAACUGACGCUGAGGCGCGAAAGCGUGGGGAGCAAACAGG